Molecule: ribosomal RNA, 497 nt
Filed under: uncultured bacterium
Lineage: Bacteria
Description: partial 16S ribosomal RNA
Rfam family: Bacterial small subunit ribosomal RNA
Source: RNAcentral
GAUGAACGCUGGCGGCGUGCCUAAUACAUGCAAGUCGAGCGAACAGACGAGGAGCUUGCUCCUCUGACGUUAGCGGCGGACGGGUGAGUAACACGUGGAUAACCUACCUAUAAGACUGGGAUAACUUCGGGAAACCGGAGCUAAUACCGGAUAAUAUAUUGAACCGCAUGGUUCAAUAGUGAAAGACGGUUUUGCUGUCACUUAUAGAUGGAUCCGCGCCGCAUUAGCUAGUUGGUAAGGUAAUGGCUUACCAAGGCAACGAUGCGUAGCCGACCUGGGAGGGUGGUCGCCCACACUGGAACUGAGACGCGGUCCAGACUCCUACGGGAGGCAGCAGUAGGGAAUCUUCCGCAGUAGGCGAGAGCCUGACGGAACAGCCCCGCGUGAGUGAUGGAGGUCUUCGGAUCGUAAAACUCUGUUAUUAGGGAAGAACAAAUGUGUAAGUAGCUGUGCACGUCUUGACGGUACCUAAUCAGAAAGCCACGGCUAACUACGUG